Molecule: long non-coding RNA, 677 nt
Filed under: Danio rerio (zebrafish)
Lineage: Eukaryota; Metazoa; Chordata; Actinopteri; Cypriniformes; Danionidae
Description: lncRNA (ENSDARG00000117463.1)
Source: RNAcentral
UUGCCAUUGAUUUAUCAGAAUCAUAGUUCUGCUAUGGAUACAUAUUCUCAUUUUAAAUUGUCUUAUUUAAGGGAGUAACCCUCUCAGAGCUCAUGGAGGCUAAGAAGACCUUCAGUACAUCAAAACUGGAAAUUCAACCAGGUGAAGUGUGCAGAUCUACAGAGAGACUGUGUGUUCAGAGAGUUCAUGAGGACACCACAGACUCCAGUCCAUCUCUGAAAACACUAGAACAACAUUCUGAGGAUCAUCUUGAUGAGCAAGGAAACUGGAAAAGAAGAUCUGGACCCAAUCCUGAAAGGUCUUCCUUUUGCAUGUCUUCAGUAAAAGGAGCUUGUGGAUUCACUCCUAGUCUGAAGAAUCACAGGAGCUUAAAAGGUCCUAUAAACACCUCCUUAUCUGAGUGUGUAAUAUUUUAUAAACAUCAUCAUCAUCAUCAUCAUCAUCAUAGUAAUAUAUUGUGUCUUUGUCUGUUCAGAGUCUGAAUGGAUGGAUGAAAAUGACAACAUUCUUUAUGGUUGCUCUGGUGCAUCUCUGGCACAGAAACUCAUUGAAGACAGUGACCUGCCUGGCCUACUCACUGAGGUAACAUUAGCAAAUGUGUUUGAGUCUCAGGCAUAUGGCAUAUGCGUAUGGGUUGUUGACAUGAUUUUGGAUUUUCACUGUCACACAAAACAAAA